GUUGAACGCUGGCGGCAGGCUUAACACAUGCAAGACGAGCGGGGUGAUGGUGCUUGCACUAUCACUUAGCGGCGGACGGGUGAGUAAUGCUUAGGAAUCUGCCUAUUAGUGGGGGACAACAUCUCGAAAGGGAUGCUAAUACCGCAUACGUCCUACGGGAGAAAGCAGGGGAUCACUUGUGACCUUGCGCUAAUAGAUGAGCCUAAGUCGGAUUAGCUAGUUGGUGGGGUAAAGGCCUACCAAGGCGACGAUCUGUAGCGGGUCUGAGAGGAUGAUCCGCCACACUGGGACUGAGACACGGCCCAGACUCCUACGGGAGGAAGCAGUGGGGAAUAUUGGACAAUGGGGGGAACCCUGAUCCAGCCAUGCCGCGUGUGUGAAGAAGGCCUUAUGGUUGUAAAGCACUUUAAGCGAGGAGGAGGCUCUUUUGGUUAAUACCCAAGAUGAGUGGACGUUACUCGCAGAAUAAGCACCGGCUAACUCUGUGCCAGCAGCCGCAGUAA
This 503-nucleotide ribosomal RNA is filed under the name uncultured bacterium. RNAcentral's name for it is "partial 16S ribosomal RNA". It matches the Rfam family "Bacterial small subunit ribosomal RNA", at positions 28 to 523 of the family's 1533-position model. The record is from RNAcentral.